Molecule: long non-coding RNA, 283 nt
Organism: Fundulus heteroclitus (mummichog)
Lineage: Eukaryota; Metazoa; Chordata; Actinopteri; Cyprinodontiformes; Fundulidae
Exons: 2
Source: RefSeq, a predicted model, not a curated record
AAGGAGGAGACUGAUAGCAGGUUUCCAUUAACUGCUGCUCCUACCAACAGUUUUUCAGGAUGAGGCAGCUGCCUGUGCCUGUGAGGCAAAAUUGAGGGAAGUAUGGAGGGACUCACUGCAGCUCGAGUUGCUGUUCUGAGAGAAUAGCAAUAGACCCAAUCAAUUUUUUGUGGUCCUUAAUAUUAACGUCACUCUAAAUGUAACUUUUCCUUUGAUUUCUACAUUAAAAACCUUCUUUGUCCUUGGCCAAUCAGUGAAAAAAAGUCUGUUCACUUCACUUUGU